This 292-nucleotide long non-coding RNA is filed under the name Trifolium pratense (red clover). RNAcentral describes it as "long non-coding RNA (TPRA_LNC012604)". Lineage: Eukaryota; Viridiplantae; Streptophyta; Magnoliopsida; Fabales; Fabaceae. The record is from RNAcentral.
GCAUAAUUUAUGCAAUGGUUAUGAUUUACUUGGUCAAGUUAAGAGAAAAUAAAAUAGUACAAAUUUUGUCCAUAUUUAUUCUUGGAAUGUGAAACAGAGAAGAUGGAUUAACAUGAUCAGACUAUUGAGGGGAUGCACAAACGAAAACACGGUGGUUGUUAAACUUAAAUAUACUUUUGCUGUCAUGGUUUUGGAAAUCAUCCCGGUGGAAGUUGUUAUGGUUGUUGCCGGAGCGGUGGAGGAAAAGGACUAUGUCUUUGAUCCGGAGGUUGCCUUUGGUCCGGUAAUGGUG